RNAcentral lists this ribosomal RNA (268 nucleotides) under uncultured bacterium. Its description in RNAcentral is "partial 16S ribosomal RNA". It matches the Rfam family "Bacterial small subunit ribosomal RNA", at positions 524 to 789 of the family's 1533-position model. The record is from RNAcentral.
GACGUAGGGCGCGAGCGUUGUCCGGAUUUAUGGGCGUAAAGAGCUCGUAGGCGGCUUGUUGCGUCAGCUGUGAAAACCCGCAGCUCAACUGUGGGCUUGCAGCUGAUACGGGCAGCUUGAGUUCGGCUGGAGGGAGCUGGAAUUCCUGGUGUAGCGGUGAAAUGCGCAGAUAUCAGGAGGAACACCGGUGGCGAAGGCGGGUCUCUGGGCCGAUACUGACGCUGAGGAGCGAAAGCGUGGGGGAGCGAACAGGGAUUAGACUACCCCU